GAUGAAGAACGCAGCGAAAUGCGAAAAGUAGUGUGAAUUGCAGAAUUCAGUGAAUCAUCGAGUCUUUGAACGCACAUUGCGCCCCCUGGCAUUCCGGGGGGCAUGCCUGUCCGAGCGUCAUUGCUGCCCUUCAAGCCCGGCUUGUGUGUUGGGUCGUCGUCCCCCCCGGGGGACGGGCCCGAAAGGCAGCGGCGGCACCGCGUCCGGUCCUCGAGCGUAUGGGGCUUUGUCACCCGCUCGAUUAGGGCCGGCCGGGCGCCAGCCGGCGUCUCCAACCUUCUAUUUUACCAGGUUGACCUCGGAUCAGGUAGGGAUACCCGCUGAACUUAAGCAUAUCAAUAAGCGGAGGA
This 350-nucleotide unclassified non-coding RNA is filed under the name soil metagenome. RNAcentral's name for it is "partial contains 5.8S ribosomal RNA, internal transcribed spacer 2, and large subunit ribosomal RNA". The stretch from base 1 to 120 matches the Rfam family "5.8S ribosomal RNA", at positions 35 to 154 of the family's 154-position model. The record is from RNAcentral.